RNAcentral lists this ribosomal RNA (2930 nucleotides) under Bacillus amyloliquefaciens. RNAcentral describes it as "23S ribosomal RNA". It matches the Rfam family "Bacterial large subunit ribosomal RNA". Lineage: Bacteria; Bacillati; Bacillota; Bacilli; Caryophanales; Bacillaceae. The record is from RNAcentral.
GGUUAAGUUAGAAAGGGCGCACGGUGGAUGCCUUGGCACUAGGAGCCGAUGAAGGACGGGACGAACACCGAUAUGCUUCGGGGAGCUGUAAGCAAGCUUUGAUCCGGAGAUUUCCGAAUGGGGAAACCCACCACUCGUAAUGGAGUGGUAUCCAUAUCUGAAUACAUAGGAUAUGAGAAGGCAGACCCGGGGAACUGAAACAUCUAAGUACCCGGAGGAAGAGAAAGCAAAUGCGAUUCCCUGAGUAGCGGCGAGCGAAACGGGAUCAGCCCAAACCAAGAGGCUUGCCUCUUGGGGUUGUAGGACACUCUGUACGGAGUUACAAAGGAACGAGGUAGAUGAAGAGGUCUGGAAAGGCCCGCCAUAGGAGGUAACAGCCCUGUAGUCAAAACUUCGUUCUCUCCUGAGUGGAUCCUGAGUACGGCGGAACACGUGAAAUUCCGUCGGAAUCCGGGAGGACCAUCUCCCAAGGCUAAAUACUCCCUAGUGACCGAUAGUGAACCAGUACCGUGAGGGAAAGGUGAAAAGCACCCCGGAAGGGGAGUGAAAGAGAUCCUGAAACCGUGUGCCUACAAGUAGUCAGAGCCCGUUAACGGGUGAUGGCGUGCCUUUUGUAGAAUGAACCGGCGAGUUACGAUCCCGUGCAAGGUUAAGCAGAAGAUGCGGAGCCGCAGCGAAAGCGAGUCUGAAUAGGGCGAAUUGAGUACGUGGUCGUAGACCCGAAACCAGGUGAUCUACCCAUGUCCAGGGUGAAGUUCAGGUAACACUGAAUGGAGGCCCGAACCCACGCACGUUGAAAAGUGCGGGGAUGAGGUGUGGGUAGGGGUGAAAUGCCAAUCGAACCUGGAGAUAGCUGGUUCUCUCCGAAAUAGCUUUAGGGCUAGCCUCAAGGUAAGAGUCUCGGAGGUAGAGCACUGAUUGGACUAGGGGCCCCUACCGGGUUACCGAAUUCAGUCAAACUCCGAAUGCCGAUGACUUAUCCUUGGGAGUCAGACUGCGAGUGAUAAGAUCCGUAGUCGAAAGGGAAACAGCCCAGACCGCCAGCUAAGGUCCCAAAGUAUACGUUAAGUGGAAAAGGAUGUGGAGUUGCUUAGACAACCAGGAUGUUGGCUUAGAAGCAGCCACCAUUUAAAGAGUGCGUAAUAGCUCACUGGUCGAGUGACUCUGCGCCGAAAAUGUACCGGGGCUAAACGUAUCACCGAAGCUGCGGACUGUUCUUCGAACAGUGGUAGGAGAGCGUUCUAAGGGCUGUGAAGCAAGACCGGAAGGACUUGUGGAGCGCUUAGAAGUGAGAAUGCCGGUAUGAGUAGCGAAAGAGGGGUGAGAAUCCCCUCCACCGAAUGCCUAAGGUUUCCUGAGGAAGGCUCGUCCGCUCAGGGUUAGUCGGGACCUAAGCCGAGGCCGAAAGGCGUAGGCGAUGGAUAACAGGUUGAUAUUCCUGUACCACCUCCUCACCAUUUGAGCAAUGGGGGGACGCAGGAGGAUAGGGUAAGCGCGGUAUUGGAUAUCCGCGUCCAAGCAGUUAGGCUGGGAAAUAGGCAAAUCCGUUUCCCGUGAAGGCUGAGCUGUGAUGGCGAGCGAAUUAUAGUAGCGAAGUUCCUGAUUCCACACUGCCAAGAAAAGCCUCUAGCGAGGUGAGAGGUGCCCGUACCGCAAACCGACACAGGUAGGCGAGGAGAGAAUCCUAAGGUGAUCGAGAGAACUCUCGUUAAGGAACUCGGCAAAAUGACCCCGUAACUUCGGGAGAAGGGGUGCUCUGUUAGGGUGCAAGCCCGAGAGAGCCGCAGUGAAUAGGCCCAGGCGACUGUUUAGCAAAAACACAGGUCUCUGCGAAGCCGUAAGGCGAAGUAUAGGGGCUGACGCCUGCCCGGUGCUGGAAGGUUAAGAGGAGCGCUUAGCGUAAGCGAAGGUGCGAAUUGAAGCCCCAGUAAACGGCGGCCGUAACUAUAACGGUCCUAAGGUAGCGAAAUUCCUUGUCGGGUAAGUUCCGACCCGCACGAAAGGCGCAACGAUCUGGGCACUGUCUCAACGAGAGACUCGGUGAAAUUAUAGUACCUGUGAAGAUGCAGGUUACCCGCGACAGGACGGAAAGACCCCGUGGAGCUUUACUGCAGCCUGAUAUUGAAUGUUGGUACAGCUUGUACAGGAUAGGUAGGAGCCUUGGAAACCGGAGCGCCAGCUUCGGUGGAGGCAUCGGUGGGAUACUACCCUGGCUGUAUUGACCUUCUAACCCGCCGCCCUUAUCGGGCGGGGAGACAGUGUCAGGUGGGCAGUUUGACUGGGGCGGUCGCCUCCUAAAAGGUAACGGAGGCGCCCAAAGGUUCCCUCAGAAUGGUUGGAAAUCAUUCGCAGAGUGUAAAGGCACAAGGGAGCUUGACUGCGAGACCUACAAGUCGAGCAGGGACGAAAGUCGGGCUUAGUGAUCCGGUGGUUCCGCAUGGAAGGGCCAUCGCUCAACGGAUAAAAGCUACCCCGGGGAUAACAGGCUUAUCUCCCCCAAGAGUCCACAUCGACGGGGAGGUUUGGCACCUCGAUGUCGGCUCAUCGCAUCCUGGGGCUGUAGUCGGUCCCAAGGGUUGGGCUGUUCGCCCAUUAAAGCGGUACGCGAGCUGGGUUCAGAACGUCGUGAGACAGUUCGGUCCCUAUCCGUCGCGGGCGCAGGAAAUUUGAGAGGAGCUGUCCUUAGUACGAGAGGACCGGGAUGGACGCACCGCUGGUGUACCAGUUGUUCUGCCAAGGGCAUCGCUGGGUAGCUAUGUGCGGACGGGAUAAGUGCUGAAAGCAUCUAAGCAUGAAGCCCCCCUCAAGAUGAGAUUUCCCAUUCCGCAAGGAAGUAAGAUCCCUGAAAGAUGAUCAGGUUGAUAGGUCUGAGGUGGAAGUGUGGCGACACAUGGAGCUGACAGAUACUAAUCGAUCGAGGACUUAACCUA